CAAAUAUUAGAGGGCUUAGCUUUAAGGUGAGAGAGGUAAAAUUUAAAGGCGAUGUGUAGGGUGUUUUUUUACAAAGAGGGUGGUGAGUGCCUGGAAUGCGCUGUCAGGGCUUGUGGUUGAGGCAGAUAUGAUAGUGGUGUUUCAGAGGCUUUUAGACAGGCACA
Molecule: long non-coding RNA, 164 nt
Organism: Amblyraja radiata (thorny skate)
Lineage: Eukaryota; Metazoa; Chordata; Chondrichthyes; Rajiformes; Rajidae
Exons: 3
Source: RefSeq, a predicted model, not a curated record